Molecule: long non-coding RNA, 912 nt
Organism: Myotis brandtii (Brandt's bat)
Lineage: Eukaryota; Metazoa; Chordata; Mammalia; Chiroptera; Vespertilionidae
Exons: 2
Source: RefSeq, a predicted model, not a curated record
ACAGGUUGAGAACCGCUGCCUUAGAGUAACUCCAUAAAGUUGUUAGGUAUAAAAUAAAUACACAAGAAGAUAUAUAUAAUCAACACUGGUCCUAUAUAUCUUAAAACAAAAAUUCCUAAUUUACAAACCCCUCAAAAUCAGAAUGAACUUAAGAAUAAAUGUGAGAACACUUAUGUAGAAAACUAAAAUUUCUCUGAUGGUUAGAGGUAGAUUUGAAUGACGUUAUCUACCACAUUCUUUUAUGUGAAGACCGUAUUACAUGGAACUUCAUUUUUCACAAACUAGUCAAUUCUAAUCAAAAUCCCAAUGACAUAUGCAGGGGAGUGAAGAAGUUAAGUUCUGAGGAAAUGAUACCUGGGUCACCUGGAGGAACAGAUAAAACAAGAUCUUUUAAAAGCUGCUGAAGAUGUGGAUGUUCAAGUGAAGUAUGGAGCUACAAUCAAAGGAAAGACAGGCCUGUGAACGAUGUGAUGUAGAACUUUUCCUAUUUGUCACGGAGAAGGGCCCGUGACUGCCAGGUGUCCCCGGGGACCGCACGACGCCAGGCCAGCUCACAGACACUCGGAGGCAGGCGAUGGCACACAGGUACCCAGGCUCAUCGCCGUGUUGUCACCGUGCCCUGAACAAAGACCGUCUGACGUCCACUCUGAACAGUGCCUGUGUCCAGAUGACGUGCAAGGACGUUCCUACCUGGCGGGCGCUGCUGAUUGGUUCCUUGGUAAGGAAACAUUACUUCGCAGACACACAACCAAAAACAUCCUGAGAUGAUUCCUUAAGCUACUCAUUUCCUUUAUGUCAAAAAUUUCACUUCCAGAAAUCUACUCUAGGAAAAUGCUAAAGUAUAACCCAAAAAUGCUCCAUGAAGAAUGAUUUAUAAUAGUGAAAAAAUAGAAAUAACCUCAACAGCCAACA